Molecule: long non-coding RNA, 2056 nt
Organism: Asterias rubens (European starfish)
Lineage: Eukaryota; Metazoa; Echinodermata; Asteroidea; Forcipulatida; Asteriidae
Exons: 5
Source: RefSeq, a predicted model, not a curated record
CCGACCUCAAAAGCUCCCCAUUUUUCUCUCCAGCUUUGUCUACAUUGUAUAGCCAACUUGGUCGACGAAACCGCCGCAAAAUGAUAAUUGAGGAGAGACGAACAACAAGAACAUCAAUCAACUUCAACCAUUAAGAUGGCGACAGAUAAAUGGCAGCCUCAGUUACAAAUACUCAACUUGGCAAGUAAAGCACAAGAAACACUCUUAUUUUUAAGAUAAAUCCAUGAGUGACAACACCAAAACAUGAGAUGUUCCUCCGUGACACCCUCACAAUCCCAUGGAGCUUGUGGGUCAUCCUCUUCCCAACAAGACCCACCCUAGCCCUUAGCCUCAGCUGCAUCAUCUUGUUGAGCCACGCUUACACUCCUGCUGAAGUUCGUUGAAAUCACACCACGAUCACGUACUACUACAUGAUGGACUAGAGUCAUGGCAAUACGAUCAAGAUAGAGCCAUGCGUGAUAAUACCAAGUUCUGAGAUGUUCCUCGAUGUUCCAAACUGAUGGAGCUUGGUCAUCCUCUGCCUGAGAACCACCCUGGCCUUAGCAUCAACUGGGUGAUCUAUUCGAAUCACCCUUCAUCAGAGCAUGGAUGCCUACUUUCUUGCUAAGAGAGACGCAAAGCCAUGCUUACACUCCUGCUGAAGCUUGUUGAAGUCACACCAGUAUCCCUGUCUUCUGCAUGAUGGACAAGAACCAUGGCAAUACAAUACAAUCAAGAAAUCUGCAAAUCGAGAGAGCGUGGGAUCUUCAUCAACAAAGCCAGACGGAGAGUGUCGGAAUCUACAAUCAGUGAGCUGUCAACCACCAGCAGAGAUGCAAGAUGAUCAGCGCCGAAGCCCGAUUGUAGUAUCUUUUUCAGUAAUUUGCCUAAACAGGCAUUUAGAUAUGGGAUGGAUCUUAGGUAGGAUUUAAUAAAAAGUAAUACUUUCCAGAGUUGUGAAUUAACCAAUAUUUCUGUGUAUGGCGAUUAAUUCACAGUUACUAGUGUGGCGAAUGACCCAUACUUCCUGUGUGUGGUGUUGAUCUACCCAUACCAGACUUUUCUUGCUGGUGAUCUUCUAUCAAUACUUCCCCAUACUUUCGUGGUGAUGACCUACCCAUGCUUUUCCUGUGUGGUGAUGAUCUACCCAUACUUACCCUGUGUGGUGAUAAUCCACCCAUACUUUUGUGGGGUGAUGAUCUACCCAUAUAUGCCCCCUGUGUGGUGAUGAUACUUUCCCUGUGUGGUGAUGAUACUUUCCCUGUGUGGUGAUGAUACUUUCCCUGUGUGGUGAUGAUACUUACCCUUUGUGGUGAUGAUCUACCCAUACUUUUCCUGUGUGGUAUGAUCUACCGAUACUUUCCCUGUGUGGUGUUGAUCUACCCAUACUUUCCCUGUGUGGUGAUGAUCUACCUAUACUUUUGUGGUGAUGAUCUACCCAUACUUUUCCUGUGUGGUGAUGAUCUACCCAUACUUUUGUGGUGAUAUCUACCCAUACUUACCCUGUGUGGUGAUGAUCUACCUAUACGUUUGUGGUGAUGAUCUACCCAUACUUAAGUGGUGAUGAUCUACCCAUAUUCACCCUGUGUGGUGAAUCAUCUGAAUCAAAUUGGAACGUUUUCCAGGGUUUAUUUAAUGUGUAAUUCUAGCUUGUUAUUAGGCUGCUGUGUGUGGAGUUUGAUAAACUUGGUUGCCAUAGAUAUGGAGCCGGAUGGGAAUUUUCCCCUGAGUGUUUACCCAAAAAGGGGUGUUUGUAAAGGGUUUUGCCCAUCUCAUACACAGCAGAUAGCAGCCAUGCAACUUUUCAGCUGACCAGCUAAUUUUUUGAUCAUGGUUUUUCUCAGCCACUGAAAAUUCAAAAUCACAGUACAAAGUAUAGCUGUGCCUGUUUGAGUCCUCUCUUUUUCCUGCAAAAAUGCAAAGUUGUAUGUUUGAAAUAGGUUAGAUAGUUAAGGUUACAUGUUAGAAAAUGUUUCAGGCGUGUGGUCCAUACUUACUCUUGUGUGGUAAAUUACAAUUUAUAUAAAAAGUUGUAAAUAGGUUAGCUGAAAUAGGUUAGGUUAGUUAGGUUAGAAAA